Molecule: long non-coding RNA, 5234 nt
Organism: Gadus chalcogrammus (walleye pollock)
Lineage: Eukaryota; Metazoa; Chordata; Actinopteri; Gadiformes; Gadidae
Exons: 19
Source: RefSeq, a predicted model, not a curated record
UCAUGUGGUCAGGGUUCUACCUGGCCUGGUUGUUCAUGUGGUCAGGGUUCUACCUGGCCUGGUUGUUCAUGUGGUCAGGGUUCUACCUGGUUCGGUUGUUCAUGUGGUCAGGGUUCUACCUGGCCUGGGGUUCUUCAUUCGGGCGUGAUCAGGGUGACGAGGCAUACCAUGUGUGAGCGUGAUGACAUGGGGAUACGCACUUAUUAUACAUCACAACAUUUUAGGCAAUGGUCCUUCAAGCUUGAAAGACUGCGACAUGGCUGCCCUUUCUAGCCCCGACAUGAUAGUUGACUGGCAGGCCCUGUGGAUCGUAUCUUCUGGACUCCUGUGCUGGGAUGCAGGUUUUUCUUGGGCUGAAUUGUAAUGCAUUUGUCGAUGCUAGCUGGACCUGGGAGUUGGGUCCCCCUUUGAAUCAGAAACCAUCUUGGUAACAUCCCAACUAGGGUUCUCUUCAUGCUGUAACCAAGCUCUUCUUCAGCUGAGGAGGAAAAGAAAUCCUCGCUGAGGCUUCAAGAUCUAUGAAGAGGAAUAUUGAAAUGUGUGCAAUGGUUCCCUCCCGUAGGCGCUGUGGUGUAUUCUAGUCGCUGAGAAAGAGCCCUCGCAUCCUACCCAUGGCGUCUCUCCUUGGGGAGUCCCUGUCACAGUCUUGACGGAUGUUCCAGGUCAUGUAACUGAUGCAACAGCCCUUUUGAACACUGUUUCUCCGGAGGGGGGCACGUCUACAGAACAGUAGACUUCAGAUAGCACAGUAUCCUAACAUGCAUCUCUAGCCACUCAGACCACACCCGGAUCAAUAUGACAAUGCUCAUGCGAUGUGAAGCGAGGAAGUGGCCAAAAGACAGAUUAGUUAGCUUUUUUUGUACACUGGCAAGCAUUGUUAAUUGGUAGGUAAUUAGUUAAAUGGGGUAACUGAAAUGUUUAGUCAAAAUGAUUUGUACAUAAACCAACAGCAACAAACUACCAGAUCGCCUCAAGGUAAGUCUGUUGGCUGUAUUUUGCACUGAGACGACCACAAGAUCUUCAUCGUCGUUCAGCUCAAGGUGAGGUGCUGGUUACGUUACUUAGGGAUGGUUCAUACUGGAACGUUACGAUUCCAGUAUGACGGGGCUUGGGGUUUCUGUAGAGGUUGGUAGUUAGUUUUGUGCAGUCUGUGAAGCUCUAAUGCUGCAGUACUGUGUGGUGGAUGUUGAGUCACCUGGGAGGAUAACUGGCAGUACGAUCAGGAUUGGCAAUUGCGUUAUGUCCACACCUUAUUAUGGCGUCUGGCAGUAUGAUCAGGAUUGGCAAUUGCGUUAUGUCAUCCACACCUUAUUAUGGCGUCUGGCAGCACGAUCAAUAUUGGCAUUUGCGUAAACCUCAUAACUAAUGAGCGUACCCAAUUAAGGUAAUCUGGCAGUGCCCCAUUUCUAUACGUAACCAUCUGCGAUUAUUGGUAAAUCCUUAUGCACUACAAAUUAGGAAGGGCACUCUUAAAAUAUAUAUUUUAAUUAUCCCACAAAAUACCGCAAACUACUUUGAUAACUGCGCUCUACAAUCAACUCUAGAUUUUCUGCGUAUACAUUAUCGGGUCGCGUAAAAGAUGGAGACGACGGCAUUUACAUACUACGGCUUUUUAGUUCUUCAACAACCCAGCAGCUGAAUGUGGCUAAGUAUCAUUUUACUAUCUAAAUUACUAUUGAUAUUGCUAGUGUUCUAAAUUUCUGGGCUGUGAUCUGCUCAAUAUAGUUUCUGCUAGACUUCAGAAACAAAAGGAAGGGUUAAAUCUAAGUGUGCUUGUUUACGUAUUAUCAAAUGGUAUAGCUGUUUAGAAAAGUAAAGUUAAUUGUUGCGCAAAUGCUACCAUAAACCUUUGACUUUUGAAUAAAUCAAACUAAGCACAAGGCAACUAAGAUACGUGGUGACCUAGAACUCUUAUAUUGAUGUUCAGUUUAUUCUUGCUGAGGCAGUGAUGUAAAGCGCGUCAUGUUUUUAAAUGGAUGAAUGUUGUGCUAACAGACGGGGGAAACUCCAGGCCUUGCAGUCCUGAUCCUGUAUGAUGCAGAAGAUGUCAAUCCAACCGCACAUUGAUCUCUGCAGCGUGGUCGGUGGGAGGAGAUGUGUCCGAGCUGUUGAACCAGGCUCUAUCGGUACCAGGACUCUGUGAUGGAGGGGAGCUGAUAGAGCCGUGCUGAGGACCUGCCGGUGAAGGACGUCCCUCGUGGGGGGGCAAGGACAGCCGACCCUGAGGUCAGGACGCGUUGGUGGAGGAGGAGGACUGAUGGAGGAGAGCCGACGGAGCCAUGGUGGACGAAAGCCGAUGGCGCCAUGGUGGACGAGAGCCGACAGCGCCAUGGUGGACGAAAGCCGACGGAGCCAUGGUGGACGAGAGCCGGCGGCGCCAUGGUGGACGAGAGCCGACGGCGCCAUGGUGGACGAAAGCCGACGGAGCCAUGGUGGACGAGAGCCGGCGGCGCCAUGGUGGACGAGAGCCGAUGGAGGAGCCGUGGUGGAGGUCCUGCCUUAAGAAUGAUGUCGGGACCCGAUGGCCUUUGCUGAUGGAGGAACUGCAUCUGGAGGACGACCAUGAAUCUACCUGCCAACAGGUGGUACUGGUUUGCACUGGUUUGCAUGAACUGAACAUGGUGGACAUGAGGCAAAUCCCCUGCUGUUUGCCCCAGACCAGGACUGGGUGAUGGAGGGGUGGUGAUGGAGCCAUGCUGAGGACCCGCUGGUGAAGGACGUCCCUCGUGGGGGGGGCAAGGACAGCCGACCCUGAGUGAUCUCUGCAGCGUGGUCGGUGGGAGGAGAUGUGGCCGAGCCAUUGAACCAGGCUCUAUCGGUGUCAGGACGCGUUGGUGGAGGAGGAGGGCUGAUGGAGGAGAGCCGAGGGAGCCAUGGUGGACGAGAGCCGACGGAGCCAUGGUGGACGAAAGCCGACGGAGCCAUGGUGGACGAGAGCCGACGGCGCCAUGGUGGACGAAAGCCGACGGAGCCAUGGUGGACGAGAGCCGACGGCGCCAUGGUGGACGAAAGCCGACGGAGGAGCCGUGGUGGAGGUCCUGCCUUAAGAAUGAUGUCGGGACCCGAUGGCCUUUGCUGAUGGAGGAACUGCAUCUGGAGGACGACCAUGAAUCUACCUGCCAACAGGUGGUACUGGUUUGCACUGGUUUGCAUGAACUGAACAUGGUGGACAUGAGGCAAAUCCCCUGCUGUUUGCCCCAGACCAGGACUGGGUGAUGGAGGGGUGGUGAUGGAGCCAUGCUGAGGACCCGCUGGUGAAGGACGUCCCUCGUGGGGGGGGCAAGGACAGCCGACCCUGAGUGAUCUCUGCAGCGUGGUCGGUGGGAGGAGAUGUGGCCGAGCCAUUGAACCAGGCUCUAUCGGUGUCAGGACGCGUUGGUGGAGGAGGGCUGAUGGAGGAGAGCCGAGGGAGCCAUGGUGGACGAGAGCCGAGGGAGCCAUGGUGGACGAGAGCCGACGGAGCCAUGGUGGACGAGAGCCGACGGAGCCAUGGUGGACGAAAGCCGACGGAGCCAUGGUGGACGAAAGCCGACGGAGCCAUGGUGGACGAGAGCCGACGGCGCCAUGGUGGACGAGAACCGGCAGAGGAGCCGUGGUGGAGGCCCUGCCUUAAGAAUGAUGUCGGGACCCGAUGGCCUUGGCUGAUGGAGGAACUGCAUCUGGAGGACGACCAUGAAUCAACCUGCCAACAGGUGGUACUGGUUUGCACUGGUUUGCACUGGUUUGCAUGAACUGAACAUGGUGGACAUGAGGCAAAUUCCCUGCUGUUUGCCCCAGACCAGGACUGGGUGAUGGAGGGGUGGUGAUGGAGCCAUGCUGAGGACCCGCUGGUGAAGGACGUCCCUCGUGGGGGGGGCAAGGACAGCCGACCCUGAGUGAUCUCUGCAGCGUUGUCGGUGGGAGGAGAUGUGUCCGAGCCGUUGAACCAGGCUCUAUCGGUGUCAGGACGCGUUGGUGGAGGAGGAGGGAUGAUGGAGGAGAGCCGAUGGAGCCUUGGUGGACGAGAGCCGAGGGCGCCAUGGUGGACGAGAGCCGGCGGCGCCAUGGUGGACGAGAGCCGACGGCGCCAUGGUGGACGAGAGCCGAAGGCGCCAUGGUGGACGAGAGCCGAUGGAGGAGCCAUGGUGGAGGUCCUGCCUUAAGAAUGAUGUCGGGACCCGAUGGGCUUGGCUGAUGGAGGAACUGCAUCUGGAGGACGACCAUGAAUCUACCUGCCAACAGGUGGUACUGGUUUGCACUGGUUUGCAUGAACUGAACAUGGUGGACUUGAGGCAAAUUCCCUGCUGUUUGCCCCAGACCAGGACUGGGUGAUGGAGCCAUGCUGAGGACCUGCUGGUGAAGGACGUCCCUCGUGGGGGGGGCAAGGACAGCCGAACCUGAGGAUCCGCUCGGAAGACUACGAUGCGACUGCAGAGGUCUGUGGAAGACCAGGAGUCCUUGGCUGAGGAGAGCUGAUGGAGGAGCCGUGCACCUGGAGAACCAUGAGUCUGCCUGCCAACAAGUAUUACUGGAAGGCGGGGCAUAGGGAGGUGAUGGAGGACCUGCCUGGUGAAGGACCUGCCUGGUGAAGGACGUCAGGGUGGGGCGAGUGACACCCGACUCCAAGGGGAUAUCCACUGAGGAGAGAGCUGAAGGAGCCAUGCAUCUGGAAGGUGCAGUUGAAAUGCUGUAUCCAGUCUGGGACACACACCUGAGCUGCGUCAAACCUGUAUUUCUGACCAGCUGGAGUCCCUUAGUGAUCAGCAACCGCCCCUCAUCGCUGGCCUGUGGAUUCAUCUCCUUCACACUCACACAACGUGAACUUGGCCUGUGGAUUCAUCUACUCCACACUCGCACAACAGGACUUUGGCCUGUGGAUUCAUCUCCUCCACACUCACGCAACGUGACCUUCUCACCAUCUGUUGCACGUUUGGAUGCACCUAGCGUGUUCCAUCGAGGGUUCCUUCCUCCCCACAGUGGGAGGGAGGGUUCCUUGUCCUUCAAGGCGUCGGGGUUCAGUGUUAGGGACAGAGUUAGGGACAGAUGGCUGCGCUGGAUUCACGAUAUACGCUUUGUGAUCAAAAUGGGUUCGGACAUUGGACAAAACGCUUCCCAAAAUGUUUCAAUGUGCAAACGAUUUUAUAAAACAUAUACGUAUAUAACAAAUUCUACCUGGUUGUGUGGCUUUUUCUGCAUGUUGUGCAUUUUGUGAUGUUUAAUACUGACCAUAAUGAGUUGACCUAUACACAUCUACC